Molecule: long non-coding RNA, 874 nt
Organism: Amphimedon queenslandica
Lineage: Eukaryota; Metazoa; Porifera; Demospongiae; Haplosclerida; Niphatidae
Exons: 4
Source: RefSeq, a predicted model, not a curated record
ACAACAACAUAAAUUCAUGCUCCAUGAAUCACACUUACCAUGCAAUGUUAUGUGCACAGUGAGUUAGACCAUGAAUAAACUCAAUCAAAUUUAUGGGUAUAUUCUCAGUUAAUAUCCAACAAGUUUCAAACAACUAUGGCUUCUGGCUUUGGAGAUUAAUUCACAUCAGAGAUAGUCAUUAAUGGCUCACUGGUGAUUUAGACCUCAAAAAAUUUGUUGAGGACAUGUUGGCAAGUUUAUAAAAAUAGCAUACAAUGGAAUUAAUGCAGCUGAUCAGCUGUUUUGAGCUCUAUGAAUACAUUAAGGAUAACCCAGAUUAUAAGGAAUCAAAGACAUAUCUCCCUGUCCUUAGUGAAGAGUUCAUAGCUAUAAUAGAUGACGCAAAGGAAAAGAUAGAACAAGAAGGAACCAAGCAAACUAUCACAACAAAGAGAAUAAAAAUAAAACUCUUUUGGUUUGAAACAUUAUUCAUUGAAACAGCUGGAGAUGAUCAACUGCUGCAACCUGAUGAUUUUAUAAUGGUGACUGGAUAUCAGUGGUUCUGAGAAAAAUGACAGUACCUGAAAUACUGGACUCGUUAAGUAAACUCUCCUGGUAAGAAUGCUGUCUCAGUUAAUGUAUAGCAUGUACAACGCACUUAUAUACAUGUACAUGUACAUUGUACUUAUAGUGUAUUUGUACAUGUAGUCCAUAUUAUACUUACAAAUGUGGUAAGUAUUGUGUACAUUCAUGUAGUGUACAUGCUGUAUGUUCCUAAUAUUAUACCCCAUGCUCUAAUACACAUAUGCUUAUAUACUUGUACAUAUACAUACCGGUAUAUACAUGAUACAUGUACUACACUUACUUGAACAUGCAUGUUUUAAUACGUAUGUGU